AGGACGAACGCUGGCGGCGUGCUUAACACAUGCAAGUCGAGCGGACACCAUCCGGUGGCAACACUGGUGAAGUGUUAGCGGCGAACGGGUGAGUAACACGUGAGCAACCUGCCCCCAAGUCUGGGACAAGCCUGGGAAACCGGGUCUAAUACCGGAUGCCCUCUUCGGAUCGCAUGGUCUGAUGAGGAAAGAAUUUCGCUUGGGGAGGGACUCGCGGCCUAUCAGCUUGUUGGUGGGGUAAUGGCCUACCAAGGCUUCGACGGGUAGCUGGUCUGAGAGGACGACCAGCCACACUGGGACUGAGACACGGCCCAGACUCCUACGGGAGGCAGCAGUGGGGAAUCUUGCGCAAUGGGCGAAAGCCUGACGCAGCAACGCCGCGUGCGGGAUGAAGGCUCUCGGGUCGUAAACCGCUUUCAGUGGGAACGAUGAUGACGGUACCCACAGAAGAAGGACCGGCCAACUACGUGCCAGCAGCCGC
Molecule: ribosomal RNA, 481 nt
Filed under: uncultured bacterium
Lineage: Bacteria
Description: SSU rRNA
Rfam family: Bacterial small subunit ribosomal RNA
Source: RNAcentral